Ostrea edulis (European flat oyster) is the source of this 550-nucleotide long non-coding RNA. RefSeq lists it as uncharacterized. The record is from RefSeq and is a predicted model, not a curated record. The transcript has 3 exons. Lineage: Eukaryota; Metazoa; Mollusca; Bivalvia; Ostreida; Ostreidae.
AGUUCUUUACCUAGAUGACGGUUUCGUAUUCGCAUCAUCUAAACAUGAAUGUUUGUCAGUUUCUGAAUUCAUCAAAAGUAGUUUAUCAGAAUUUGGGCUACUUAUCAAUAUUGAAAAAUCAGUAUUUUAUCCAACUCAGAAUUUAGAAUGGUUAGGAAUUUUGUGGGAUUCAAAGUCUUUUUCUAUUUCAGUGCCCAAAAGACGUCUUGACGACACAGUUGCUUCUUUACAGCAAUUGGUGAAGUGUUUUCCUAAAGUGACGGCGAGACAAUUGGCGAGAGUUGUGGGAAAAAUAAUGUCAAUGUCACCAGUUAUGGAUAUAUUUAAAACGGGAAGGUGGUCCGAUAGUGUAAGGAUUGAAGAUCAGCGAUUACAACAGCUACGGGACCUUUUACCAACUUUCUGUCUUAAAUCAAGAGCAGGCAAUACAUCGAGUCAAUACAGAUUACAAAUCAUCAAACAAAAUUCAACUAGCUACACAUUCUAUAAGUUGGUCCCAUCAGUUAGCAGGACUAAAAGAUCCAUGUGAAUCUGCGUUAGUGAAGUUAAC